UGGGGAACAUUGCACAAUGGGCGCAAGCCUGAUGCAGCCAUGCCGCGUGUAUGAAGAAGGCCUUCGGGUUGUAAAGUACUUUCAGCGGGGAGGAAGGCGAUAAGGUUAAUAACCUUGUCGAUUGACGUUACCCGCAGAAGAAGCACCGGCUAACUCCGUGCCAGCAGCCGCGGUAAUACGGAGGGUGCAAGCGUUAAUCGGAAUUACUGGGCGUAAUGCGCACGCAGGCGGUCUGUCAAGUCGGAUGUGAAAUCCCCGGGCUCAACCUGGGAACUGCAUUCGAAACUGGCAGGCUAGAGUCUUGUAGAGGGGGGUAGAAUUCCAGGUGUAGCGGUGAAAUGCGUAGAGAUCUGGAGGAAUACCGGUGGCGAAGGCGGCCCCCUGGACAAAGACUGACGCUCAGGUGCGAAAGCGUGGGGAGCAAACA
This 427-nucleotide ribosomal RNA is filed under the name uncultured bacterium. RNAcentral describes it as "partial 16S ribosomal RNA". It matches the Rfam family "Bacterial small subunit ribosomal RNA", at positions 355 to 774 of the family's 1533-position model. The record is from RNAcentral.